This 3272-nucleotide ribosomal RNA is filed under the name Chilomastix caulleryi. RNAcentral describes it as "partial small subunit ribosomal RNA". It matches the Rfam family "Eukaryotic small subunit ribosomal RNA". The record is from RNAcentral. Lineage: Eukaryota; Fornicata; Retortamonadidae.
UAGUCAUAUGCUCAGCUCAAAGACUAAGCCAUGCAUGUCUAAGUAUAAGGGCAUUGUCCCGAAACUGCGAACGGCUCAUUACAACGGUCGUAAUUCAAAUGGCCCUAUCCAAUCCUAGUCGGAUAACACUGGGAAUCUAGUGCUAAUACGUGCACCAAAUGGUGGUCGGCCUUUAUUGUGCUGGCUAUCAGGCGCCUAUCGGCAUCUUCUUUGCGGGGGAUGUGUAGUACGAAAUUGACCAGCGUGGUAAGUGAUGGAUUAACCUCUAUUGCUUAUCAUUAUCAUGGUGAAACAAGGUAGGACGUAGACCGCUGAAAAGUGGUAGGCCAUACAAACGACCGCCCCAUCAUACUUUCAACCGUAGUAUAGGGGACUACGGUGGUGUUAACGGGUAACGGAGAAUAUGGGUUCGACUCCGGAGAAUGAACAUGAGAUAUGUUUCAUACUUCUAAGGAAGGCAGCAGGCGCGCAAACUACCCAAUCGACAACGUCGGAGGUGGUGACGAGCAGUACUGGAUGCUUGAUUUUUAAAUUCGGGCAUUCAGAAUGAACGAUGCACAGAUACUACGCUGAAUGCAAGAAGAGGGCAAGUCUGGUGCCAGCAGCCGCGGUAAUUCCAGCUCUUCGAGCAUAUAUUAAAGUUGUUGCGUUUAAAACGCCCGUAGUUGAGAUUCUAAUUAUGUGAGGAGAGGUGUGUGUAAGUGUGUAAGUGUAUGGAGGUGAAGAUGGAGAUGGUUGUGUGAGUGAGAGUAAAAGGAAUGGAUGGAAUGGAUGAAAGAGAGAGAAGGAGGAAAGGAAGAAGUGAAGAGAGAGGGAAGGGGGUUUGAUGAAGGAAGGAGGGAAGUGAGAGAAGUAAGAGAGAGGGAGAGAGAGAGUGAGAGAGUGAGAGAGUUACGAACAAAGGAGUAACAAUGGAUGCAGAUUGUUGGGAAGUAAGUCCAGUAUAAGUGAUAUGGUCAGAUGCACGUAUCAACUGGACGAACGCUCUAACAAGUCGUUGAUACUUCCGACUCUCAGAAGAAGCGUAAGAUUGAAUUGCAUAUACAUGAUGGGCAUGUGUAUGAUGGAGUCGUCAUUCAUAUAUGUACGAUGGUAUACAGUACAAUAUGAUAUGGUGGUGGUUGUGGUUGUGGUGUAGCCAUGCACAGUUAGGUGUGUGGUUAUGUUACAAUCGUAAUCAUUAUCAUUAUCUAAUUGUGUAUCUUCGCAUGUAUGUGGGUGGCGAUGAAAUUAUGUAUGCUAUUCAAUCUUACACUCCUUCUGGGAGUCUGGGGAAUUGGCGACUUGUUAAAAGCGUUCGUCCAGUUGGUACGUGCAUCUGUUCAUCUUGCUUAUAUUGUAUGAGCUUCCCAACAGUUUGUUGAAUCUGUUACUUCUUUCUUUAUAACUCUCUUUCUCUCAUUCUCUUUCUCUCUCUCUCUUACUUCUCUUCCUUUUCUCUUUUUGAAGUCUUUCACCCUUUCUCUUCAUGGAUUUCUUAAAUCUUUUGAUCUUGAUCAUACAUACAUUCAUUUCUUCUCAUGAUCAUAAUCAUAAUCAUAAUCAUCUUUAUAUAAAUACAUAUACAUAUACAUAUACAUAUACAUAUAUCUCUCUCUCUCAUGAUUGAAUUUAGUUACCAUAAAGAAAUUGGAGUGUCUCAAGCAGGUCUUGCCUUAACGGGCGUUGGCCCCUGUACAUUGCAGUAUGGAAUAACAGAUUAGACCUAUGUCUGUCUGCUGGUCAAGUCCUCAUCAUAGGGAUCGGUGGAUUUAUUCUAAUAUGUGAUGUUAGUGUUCUCAUAUUGAGUAUUUAUUGAUAACUUAUGAUUUAACAAGUUGUUUCAGUAUUUCGGUAUUGAGAUGAUGGAAUUGAAUUGUAUGGAGUAGGUAAGUAUUCAAUAUGAGGUCCAACAUUAACAUUGUGUAUUAGUGUAUCUAUUGAUAACUGGUUGAGGAACAGAUGUGGCGUGAUGGUAAAUAGGGGCGGUAUCGGGGGCAUAAGUAUUGGGCCGGGAGAGGUAAAAUUCUAUGAUCGGCCCACGACUAACUGAGGCGAAAGCGCUUGCCAAGGACGCUUUCAUUGAUCAAGGACGAUAGCUGGGGGAGAGAAGGAGAUCAGACACCUCUGUAUUCCCAAGCUGUAAACGAUGCCGACUAGGUAUGGGGAGUAGUUCUUAAUUGAUAUUCUCCGUGCCCCACGAGAAAUCUGUAAGUAUUCAGGUUACGGGGGGAGUAUGGUCGCAAGGCUGAAACUUAAAGGAAUUGACGGAAGGGCACCACAAUUGGCGUGGAGCCUGCGGCUUAAUUGGAUUCAACGCCGUUAAACUUACCGGGCCCUGACUCGCUCGGGAUUGACAGGACUACGUUCUUUCGUGAUUGCGAGAGUGGUGGUGCAUGGCCGUUCUUAGUUCGUGGUGUGAACUGUCUGCUUAAUUGCGAUAACGGACGAGACCUCCGCCUAGUGACUGUCUAGGUUAAUAGGAUACUUCUGUAUUCUGUUAAUCUGGAUGGUUUUAAUAGGAGAAAGGUGGUGAGUGUAUAUAUAUAUAUAUAUAUGUAUAUAUAUGGAUGGAUAGAAAUGGAAUGGAAUGGUGUAGAAAUGGAUGGAUGGACAAGGUGUGAUGGAAAUGGAUAUGCAUUAUGCAUUGGAGUAAUGUAUAUGCAUUUGGGUGGUUGGAGUGGAAUGGAGUUAAGGAGGCAGAUGUAUAUAACAGUAUGUUUGUCUUUUUGAUUUCAUUUACUUUGAUCUUUCAAAUGUGUAUAUGUGUUUGGAUACCAAUGUUAUAUAUUCAUAUUCAUGUUCAUUAUAUUAUGGUCCAUUCAUUUCAUUCCAUUUCAUAUUUAUUCAUUCAUGUAUAUAUAUAUAUAUACAUAUAUAUACAUUCUCCAUAUACCAAACUUUCUCCUUCACAGGGACUAUUGCUUAUAAAGCGCCGGAAGCGCGAGGCAAUAACAGGUCAGUGAUGCCCUUAGAUGCCUUCUAUCGGGCUGCACGCGUGCUACAAUGGCGGGAGCAGUAUGUGGAUGCCAAACCAGAAAUGGUACGGCAACCCUGGUAGGCCCCGUCGUGGUUGGGAUCGUCCCUUGCAAUUGUUGGUCGUGAACUAGGAAUGCCUCGUAAGCGUGUGUUAGUGAUCGCACGCUGAAUGCGUCCCUGCCCUUUGUACACACCGCCCGUCGCUCCUACCGAUUGGAUGUUGCGGCAAGUUGUCCGGAGGACACACUUCUGUGUGGACCGAAGUUCCGCGAGCCCUAGCAUCUAGAGGAAGGAGAAGUCGUAACAAGGUUUCU